RNAcentral lists this long non-coding RNA (1890 nucleotides) under Cricetulus griseus (Chinese hamster). Its description in RNAcentral is "lncRNA (ENSCGRG00015035751.1)". The record is from RNAcentral. Lineage: Eukaryota; Metazoa; Chordata; Mammalia; Rodentia; Cricetidae.
GUGUGAGCACUGAGCACCUGCGGUCUUGUGAGCACUGUGCACCUGCGGUCUUGUGAGCACUGUGCACCUGCGCUCCUGUCUGGCCUCGUUCUCUCUUGAACUGAGAAUUCGCCAGCAUGGCGAGGAGACCGCCUCCUGCCGUGGGCCCCGCGGGCGCCCAUGGAAGGUCCGCAGCCUCCUGUGUCCCUUCCUGUGUGCACGGGGGGAGGCAGGGUUAGAUGUGAGUCGUCUGUAAGCACUGGAGAGGACCUCCAGUUGUCGGCACCCUUCAGAAUAUGCACUGUGUGUAUAUUCCUUCUAAAUCUAUUUGUUUUAUGUUGCGGGUGUAUCUGCACCCCACCUGUGUGCCUGCUGCUCAUGGAGGCCACAGAAGCCAUCGGUCUGGAACUAGAGUCACAGGCAGUUGUAAGCCAACACGUGCUGGACAUCUGCUGGCGUCACAACAGCAGCCGGUGCUGCUUUUAGCUGCUGAGCCAUCUCUGAUGGGGACGGUGCUUCUGUGUAUGUUCAUCUUACUGAUUGUUGACUAAAGUACUGUUGGCCAAUGAGGCAGCAAGUUAGGUGGAACUAGGAGUCAAGCAGGAUUCUGGGAAAUGUAGUAGAGAAGUGGUGAUCCAGGCAGGAAGUGACAUGGCAGGGAGACUCCUAUAUAAACAAGGGCAAGAAGGAGGUGGGCCCCUUCGCUCUUCCUCCAGAGUCACCAUGUGAGCCCGAGAUAAGGACGCCAAUGGAAGGCAUCAGAUAAGCCUUAUAAAAUAUAUGGAUUUAUGAUAAUUAAGACUGAGCUAACAGAUGAGAAUCCUAGUAAUUGGCCAAGCAACCUUUGUACCUAAUAGAAGUCUCUGUGUGUUACCUGGGGCCCUAACACAGCGAGCAGAACUCAGGCAGGUGGUGAGAAGAUUUAUCGUAACAUCUCUAUAGCCCUUACAUUUGUCACUGUUGUGAUGAAAUUCAGGACAAGAAGUCACUCGAGGAAGGAGGGCUUUAUUGUGGCUCACAGUUUUGAGGGUGCAGUCCAUCCUGGAAUGGAAGUCAUGGCGGCAGGAGCGGGAGGCAGCAGGUCACAUCACAUCCACAGUCCGGAAGCAGAGAAGAGGGUGCUGGCACUUACCUGCUUCUCCUUUUAUUCCGUCCAGAAACCAGCCCGUGUAAUAUAUUAUGUCAACUACACACGCUCAAGGGGAAUCUUCUCACCUCUGUUAGGCUAGAAAGUCCCUCAGACUUGCUCAGAAGUUCAUCUCCAAGGUGGAUAUGUCAGAAGGAUGGAUAGCAGGAAGAAAGAGAGAGAGAGGAAGAAGAGACGGAUGGAGGGGGGAGAGAGGAAGAGAGAAUGAAUGACAAUCUGGGGAAGAGAACGGCCUUUGGAGUUGUGCCCCAAGCGACCUGCUUGGUUACUUGCCAGUGGACUAGCGCAUGUAUGAAAAGAUUACCCUUAGGAGCCACGUAACUCUCUGUGGUUCAACCAUGCAGGAGCCAAGUCUUCAACACGUGAUGGGCUUCUGUGGGGACACUUAAACGAAAACCACAAACCACCACAAGACCAAGGGACGAAAGUGCAGCUGAGAUGGCUCAGCUGAUGAGUGCAUUGCGGCCAGGCCUGAUUAUGUGAGUUUGAUCUUGGGGUCCCACGUGGUAGAAGGAAAGAACCGACUCCUGCAAGUUGUCCUCUGACCUCCAAACAUGUUCUCUUGAAAGACCCCCGAAGAGGUACUUUCGUAGAAGGAGACCCGUACCCAGGAAUCAGCGAGACCACGAACUUGGAUGCAAACUGCAAGAGGUUUUAUUAGAGACGCGGGUACCUGGGGCGACUUAGCUUCUGUGUGGCUAAGCGCGCUGAGCCAAGGGAAAGGGGUCCUUAUAUAGGGAAAAAGGCGCAAGCUAGAAGCAGGG